UACAGAGACCUCAAGCGUUAUCCGGAAUCAUUGGGCGUAAAGCGUACCGAUAGGUGGUCAUGAUAGUUUUGGGUAAAAGCCAGAAGCUCAACUUCUGAGUUUGCUCAAAAUACUUCACGACUAGAGGGGCAAAGAGGAGAUUGGAACGAACGGUGUAGUAGUGAAAUGCGUUGAUAUCGUUCGGAACACCGAAAGCGAAGGCAGAUCUCUGGGUGCCACCUGACACUGCUAGGACGAAAGCGUGGGGAGCGAAUGGG
RNAcentral lists this ribosomal RNA (257 nucleotides) under uncultured bacterium. RNAcentral describes it as "partial 16S ribosomal RNA". It matches the Rfam family "Bacterial small subunit ribosomal RNA", at positions 524 to 776 of the family's 1533-position model. The record is from RNAcentral.